AACUCCUGAGCCCAAGUGAUCCUCCUACCUUGAGCUCCCAAAGUGCUGGGAUUACAAGCACAAUAAGCCACUGUGGCUGGCCACUCUCUUGUAAUUUCCUUUCAACCUUUAAGUGUAUUUUUCUCAUGGGAGUAUGGGAAGAACAGUAUGGUGAUCUGGGCACUCUUUUUAUUUGGAAACAUCUGGAAUUAUCCAAAGACAUGAAAGAUGAAAUAUGAUGACGAGGAUUUGCUUCAAAAUAAUCCAGGAAUGGGAGAUGAGGGUGAAAGUACAGAGGACACAAGAUUCCCUGUAAGCCAAUAAAAUUAUAAUAAUUCUAACCCUGCAUGUAUUUAAUAGUAGGCUAAAAUAUAUAAAGUAAGUCCUACAAAACUUAGUAGAUAUAGAACAAUCCACUAUGAAUAUAGAAGAUGUAAAAACCAUCUUUUCAAGUAUUGCAUAGUUCAAACUG
Molecule: long non-coding RNA, 451 nt
Organism: Chlorocebus sabaeus (green monkey)
Lineage: Eukaryota; Metazoa; Chordata; Mammalia; Primates; Cercopithecidae
Source: RefSeq, a predicted model, not a curated record